AAGGCAACGAUCCCUAGCUGGUCUGAGAGGAUGAUCAGCCACACUGGAACUGAGACACGGUCCAGACUCCUACGGGAGGCAGCAGUGGGGAAUAUUGCACAAUGGGCGCAAGCCUGAUGCAGCCAUGCCGCGUGUAUGAGGAAGGCCUUCGGGUUGUAAAGUACUUUCAGCAGUGAGGAAGGUUCAUACGUUAAUAGCGUAUGGAUUUGACGUUAGCUGCAGAAGAAGCACCGGCUAACUCCGUG
This 245-nucleotide ribosomal RNA is filed under the name uncultured Vibrio sp. RNAcentral's name for it is "partial 16S ribosomal RNA". It matches the Rfam family "Bacterial small subunit ribosomal RNA", at positions 270 to 507 of the family's 1533-position model. Lineage: Bacteria; Pseudomonadati; Pseudomonadota; Gammaproteobacteria; Vibrionales; Vibrionaceae. The record is from RNAcentral.